CGGUAAUACAGAGGGUGCGAGCGUUGUUCGGAAUUAUUGGGCGUAAAGUGCGUGUAGGCUGUUUAAAAAGUCUUCGGUGAAAUGCUAGAGCUUAACUUUAGCGCUGCUGAAGAUACUUUUUAACUAGAGAUCGGGAGAGGUAAGUGGAAUUCCUAGUGGAGAGGUCAAAUUCAUAGAUAUUAGGAGGAACACCAGAGGCGAAGGCGACUUACUGGAACGAUUCUGACGCUGAGACGCGAAAGCGUGGGGAGCAAACGGGAUUAGAUACCCCGGUAGUCCACGCCGUAAACGAUGGGGGCUAGAUGUUGGUUUACACCAGUAUCGUAGCAAACGCAAUAAGCCCCCCGCCUGGGGAGUAUAGUCGCAAGACCGAAACUCAAAG
This 382-nucleotide ribosomal RNA is filed under the name uncultured bacterium. RNAcentral describes it as "bacterial SSU rRNA". It matches the Rfam family "Bacterial small subunit ribosomal RNA", at positions 518 to 906 of the family's 1533-position model. The record is from RNAcentral.